CGGUAAUUCCAGCUCCAAUAGCGUAUACUAAAGUUGUUGCAGUUAAAAAGCUCGUAGUUGGAUUUCUGCGGGGACGGAGCGGCCGGACGCAACUUGCGUCUCGAGCUAGCGCUUUCCCCACAUCCUGCCGCGAACCGUGCUACCAUUAGUUUGGUGGCGCUGGGGAUCGGCUCGAUUACUUUGAGAAAAAUAGAGUGUUCAAAGCAGGCCACACGCCUUGAAUAAGUUAGCAUGGAAUAAUGACUAAGGACUUUGGUUCUUUUCGUUGGUGUUCGGGACUGAAGUAAUGAUUGAUAGGGACAGUUGAGGCGGUCCGUAUUCCAAAGCGAGAGGUGAAAUUCUUAGACCUUCGGAAGACGAACAGCUGCGAAAGCGUUCCGCAAGGAUGUUCCCUUUGAUCAAGAACGAAAGUUGGGGGAUCGAAGACGAUCAGAUACCGUCGUAGUCUCAACUAUAAACUAUACCAGCUAGGGAUCGGCCAACGUUUAAUUAAUCGACUUGGUCGGCACCUUAUGAGAAAUCAAAGCAUCUGGGUUCCGGGGGGAGUAUGGUCGCAAGGCUGAAACUUAAAGGAAUUGACGGAAGGGCACCACCAGCCGUGGAGCCUGUGGCUUAAUUUGACUCAACACGGGAAAACUUACCAGGUCCAGACAUAGGAAGGAUUGACAGAUUGAUAGCUCUUUCUUGAUUCUGUGGGUGGUGGUGCAUGGCCGUUUUUAGUUGGUGGAGUGAUUUGUCUGCUUAAUUGCGUUAACGAACGAGACCCCAGCCUGCUAAAUAGCGCGGCUGAGCUUUGCUCGGUGCGAGCUUCUUAGAGGGACCAUGAUGCGCGAUAGCACAAGGAAGUUUGGGGCAACAACAGGUCUGUGAUGCCCUUAGAUGUUCUGGGCCGCACACGGGCUACACUGGCGCCUGCAACGAGCAUAUCAGCUGGCCCGAGAGGGUCUUGGCUAAUCUUUUGAACCGGCGCCGUGCUUGGGAUUGACCUUUGCAAUUGUUGGUCAUGCAACGAGGAAUGCCUUGUAAACGCGAGUCAUCAGCUCGCAUUGAAUACGUCCCUGCCCUUUGUACACACCGCCCGUCGCUCCUACCGAUGAAUGUUCCGAUGAAAUUUUCGGAGAGCGCCAGAGAACGGGGCUCCGCCUUGCAGAUCUGGAGGCUCAAAGUCACUUAAAUCUGAACAUUUCGAGGAAGGAGAAGUCGUAACAAGGU
Molecule: ribosomal RNA, 1212 nt
Filed under: uncultured Rhizaria
Lineage: Eukaryota
Description: SSU rRNA
Rfam family: Eukaryotic small subunit ribosomal RNA
Source: RNAcentral